This 250-nucleotide unclassified non-coding RNA is filed under the name Hevea brasiliensis (rubber tree). The record is from RNAcentral. Lineage: Eukaryota; Viridiplantae; Streptophyta; Magnoliopsida; Malpighiales; Euphorbiaceae.
GUGCAAACUGCAGAAUAAUAUUUGACUAAUAAUAAGAACUUGCAAUAUCCAACAAAAAUUAAACUGAUUCUUGCUCAUAUAAAGAUAGAUGUCACUCAACCAAGUGCAAUAUAAUAGGGAGUAAAACUAAUUAAUUAGGCUGAUGAGGUACUACUGAUGUGCUUGGCAAUGGUCUGCUGCAGCUCAUCUUUUUUGGCUCCUACCACCUUAUCAACGAUCUUCCCCUCCUUGAUGAACAUGAAGGUUGGCA